UGGGGAAUUUUGGACAAUGGGGGAAACCCUGAUCCAGCCAUCACGCGUGUGCGAUGAAGGCCUUCGGGUUGUAAAGCACUUUUGGCAGGAAAGAAACGUCAUGGGUUAAUACCCCGUGAAACUGACGGUACCUGCAGAAUAAGCACCGGCUAACUACGUGCCAGCAGCCGCGGUAAUACGUAGGGUGCAAGCGUUAAUCGGAAUUACUGGGCGUAAAGCGUGCGCAGGCGGUUCGGAAAGAAAGAUGUGAAAUCCCAGGGCUCAACUUUGGAACUGCAUUUUGAACUGCCGGGCUAGAGUGUGUCAGAGGGAGGUGGAAUUCCGCGUGUAGCAGUGAAAUGCGUAGAUAUGCGGAGGAACACCGAGGGCGAAGGCAGCCUCCUGGGAUAACACUGACGCUCAUGCACGAAAGCGUGGGGAGCAAACAGG
This 429-nucleotide ribosomal RNA is filed under the name Acidobacteriota bacterium. RNAcentral describes it as "Acidobacteria bacterium partial 16S ribosomal RNA". It matches the Rfam family "Bacterial small subunit ribosomal RNA", at positions 355 to 776 of the family's 1533-position model. The record is from RNAcentral. Lineage: Bacteria; Pseudomonadati; Acidobacteriota.